AGAGUUUGAUCCUGGCUCAGAACGAACGCUGGCGGCAUGCCUAACACAUGCAAGUCGAACGAGACCUUCGGGUCUAGUGGCGCACGGGUGCGUAACGCGUGGGAAUCUGCCCUUUGCUUCGGAAUAACAGUUAGAAAUGACUGCUAAUACCGGAUGAUGUCUUCGGACCAAAGAUUUAUCGGCAAAGGAUGAGCCCGCGUAGGAUUAGGUAGUUGGUGGGGUAAAGGCCUACCAAGCCGACGAUCCUUAGCUGGUCUGAGAGGAUGAUCAGCCACACUGGGACUGAGACACGGCCCAGACUCCUACGGGAGGCAGCAGUGGGGAAUAUUGGACAAUGGGCGCAAGCCUGAUCCAGCAAUGCCGCGUGAGUGAUGAAGGCCUUCGGGUCGUAAAGCUCUUUUACCAGGGAUGAUAAUGACAGUACCUGGAGAAUAAGCUCCGGCUAACUCCGUGCCAGCAGCCGCGGUAAUACGGAGGGAGCUAGCGUUGUUCGGAAUUACUGGGCGUAAAGAGUACGUANGCGGUUAUUCAAGUCAGAGGUGAAAGCCCGGGG
RNAcentral lists this ribosomal RNA (553 nucleotides) under uncultured freshwater bacterium. RNAcentral's name for it is "bacterial SSU rRNA". It matches the Rfam family "Bacterial small subunit ribosomal RNA", at positions 8 to 607 of the family's 1533-position model. The record is from RNAcentral.